RNAcentral lists this ribosomal RNA (433 nucleotides) under uncultured bacterium. Its description in RNAcentral is "partial 16S ribosomal RNA". It matches the Rfam family "Bacterial small subunit ribosomal RNA", at positions 29 to 507 of the family's 1533-position model. The record is from RNAcentral.
AAUGAACGCUGGCGGCAGGCCUAACACAUGCCAGUCGAGCGAGCAUUUCGGUGCUAGCGGCGGACGGGUGAGUAACGCGUGGGAACGUGCCCUUUUCUGCGGAAUAGUCCUGGGAAACUGGGGGUAAUACCGCAUACGCCCUUUUGGGGAAAGAUUUAUCGGAGAAGGAUCGGCCCGCGUUGGAUUAGGUAGUUGGUGGGGUAAUGGCCCACCAAGCCGACGAUCCAUAGCUGGUUUGAGAGGAUGAUCAGCCACACUGGGACUGAGACACGGCCCAGACUCCUACGGGAGGCAGCAGUGGGGAAUCUUAGACAAUGGGGGCAACCCUGAUCUAGCCAUGCCGCGUGAGUGAUGAAGGCCUGAGGGUUGUAAAGCGCUUGCAGCUGUGAAGAUAAUGACGGUACCAGCAGAAGAAGCCCCGGCUAACUCCGUG